CCUACGGGAGGCAGCAGUGAGGAAUAUUGGUCAAUGGACGAGAGUCUGAACCAGCCAAGUAGCGUGAAGGAUGACUGCCCUAUGGGUUGUAAACUUCUUUUAUAAGGGAAUAAAACGAGCCACGUGUGCCUUUUUGCAUGUACUUUAUGAAUAAGGAUCGGCUAACUCCGUGCCAGCAGUCGCGGUAAUACGGAGGAUCCGAGCGUUAUCCGGAUUUUUUGGGUUUAAAGGGAGAGUAGAUGGGGUGUUAAGUCAGUUGUGAAAGUUUGCGGCUCAACCGUAAAAUUGCAAUUGAAACUGGCAGUCUUGAGUACAGUUGAGGUAGGCGGAAUGCGUGGUGUAGCGGUGAAAUGCUUAGAUAUCACGAAGAACCCCGAUUGCGAAGGCAGCUUACUAAACUGUGACUGACAUUGAUGCUCGAAAGUGUGGGUAUCAAACAGGAUUAGAUACCCGUGUAGUC
Molecule: ribosomal RNA, 460 nt
Filed under: uncultured bacterium
Lineage: Bacteria
Description: partial 16S ribosomal RNA
Rfam family: Bacterial small subunit ribosomal RNA
Source: RNAcentral